This 506-nucleotide long non-coding RNA is filed under the name Jatropha curcas. Its description in RNAcentral is "long non-coding RNA (JCUR_LNC000704)". Lineage: Eukaryota; Viridiplantae; Streptophyta; Magnoliopsida; Malpighiales; Euphorbiaceae. The record is from RNAcentral.
AGUUGGCGGUGGCUUCACAACAGGAGGCUUUGGUGGUAGAGUUGGCGGUGCUGGUGUUACCGGCGGCGUAGGAUAAUACGGUGGUGUAGGGGUAACAGGAGGCUUUGGUGGUAGAGUCGGAGGCUUGAUCACCGGUGGUUUUGGUGUCGGUGUUACCGGAGGGGUAGGAUAAGGCGGCGGAGUUGGGGUAACAGGAGGCUUUGGUGGUAAAGUUGGUGGGGAAAUGAUUGGUGGUUUGGGUACAUAAGGUGGUGGCUUUACAGUAGGAGGCUUUGGUGGUAAAGUUGGUGGGGAAAUGAUUGGUGGUUUGGGUACAUAAGGUGGUGGCUUUACAGUAGGAGGUUUUGGUAUAUGGGGUGGAUAUACAAUUGGAGGCUUGACAACCGGUGGUUUGGGUACGGUUGGUGGUUUGACAACGGGUGGUUUGGGUACAUAAGGUGGCGGCUUUACAGUAGGAGGUUUUGGUACAUGGGGUGGAUAUACAAUUGGAGGCUUGACAACCGGUG